CGGUUGUUCGAGUUGUUCGACGUUCGUUCACAAGUAAAAUGGCGGCGAUUAAUGUGAAAGGCGAAACGUUGUCUUAUUUCUGGUUGUAAAUAAAGUAAUUGGUAAUCUGAAACGUUGUUAUUGUUAUACAUAAGGAGGAUGAAUAGACACAAAGUGGAAUUUGCAAAGUGAACAGUUAUAAGCAUUGAAAAAUCCAAGUGAUUCUACACAAUAGACCAAAACCCGUCGCAACGAGCACUCGAGGCCAUAUUUAUGAUGUUAUCUGUUGUGUGAGCGUCCUCCGAAAGCACAUUGAUAAAUGUUUGCAGAAAACUAAGGCGAUGGGGUUUUGUUUAUGUGAAGAUUGAAUUGAACAUCAUGACAUCAAGUGCUGCAAAUUAGUGUUUGUAAGAAUACAUUGACGUGUGCUACAAACUAUGGAUGAAAGUGUGGACUUCUACUGACAUAUUACAUACAUUGACACUUAAAAUAACAUCACGGAGGUGGUAAUGGAUCCAGUAGGACCAUGGUCAGCAUAUGCUUCGUACAAUCGAUUAGCAGGGGUUCAGGCUGGUGCUGCGAGUGGGGACUUUCAUCAUCACCUCACAAGUGGUGGUUCAGGCCUAAGUGGUCAGUCAGUACCCUCUACGACCAGCCAAUUGUUAUUACAAGCAGCGCACACAACAGCCUCUUUGGCAGGGCAACUAGGUUCUUCGACUGCCUCACCCUUCAACCCUGGAGGAUUUCUAUCCCCCCCUGCUGUAGGGUAUGAUGCAGUGUUCUCACCACUAUUUCAUCAUGCCAACCCAAAACCCGCACACUAUAGUUCUUCACUUCAAGCUCAACACCGGCAAGUGAUUGCUCAAGCUCAGGCAGCAGUUGCAUCAAAGCAGUCUUCAGUUGAAUCUGAGCUUUCCUCAUUGAGAGAAAAUUAUUCUCAUCAGACACUAGCGGCACAAGGGACAGCUUCCUUCUUUGAUCAGUCAUCUACACCAGGUGGAGCUGGUGGACUAAGUUGGCAAGGGAACAACCAACUACCAAGCCCGUUUGGUAUAUUACCCCAUGAGAGUGUAGUGCCCUCAUCACCAAGUCCAGCCACAACAAAGGCGUCUGCCACUUAUGAUAAUUUUAAUGCACAUUUUGCUGCUGCCCAAACCCUCAAUAACCACCUUAACUCUCAGAUUUCCAGUGCUGGUAAACAAAGCAAUAGGUCAGGUUCCCCGGCGACUGCAUCUAAGCAACUGGCUUCAUCGACAUCUUCAUCAACAUUUUUUCAAUCACCUUCAACAUUUGGAAGUCAGACUGAUAGCGCAUAUAGUUCGAGCAGUGCAAAGAGUGGACAACCUUCGUCACAGCAGGACUAUGCUGGAAGUAAGUCUUAUUCAGGUUCUGCAAGUUCUACUACCCAUUCACAACAAUCAUGUAUUGUGUCAACUCCAACAGUGACAUCCUCCUUAUCCUCUCCUAGUAAGGAUUUCCGCUCCUCUUCCAGCUCCGCUUCCAGAACCUCUUCUUCUGUUUACAACUCACAAUCACCUAAGAAUUCCAGUGGUGAAAAAUCUCCAAGACAGUCAUCCAGUAGUACCAGCAAUUUUGUGUCUCCCACUACUAAAGCGCCACAAGUACAGACUAAAGCACAAAGUAAAAUAUACCCUGAGUUAAGUAGCGAACAAAGGAAAAGUUGUGAAUCUAGUGAUAAGCUUCAGCCCCAAUCUUCUCCUAUAAGUUAUUCUAUAAUGGAUGCUCCAGGCAGACUCAAUUAUAGUAGUAGUGUUACUACUCCUUCCAAAUCAAAUAGAAUUGGUGGUUCUCAAUAUUCCUCAACUCAAAAUUCAAGCUUUAGGCAUUAUCAAAGCGGAAAUAAUGUUGAAUCUGAUUAUCAUGUCCGAGCUAAGAGUAGUUCUAGUACAGACACGGGAUAUUCCAGUAGUAGUUCGCAAAAUGGGCCAGAUUGUAGUGGGGCUGCACCCAGAAGACCUAGUCCUCUGCAAGCACCUGCUCAAACUUCUCCGUUAGGUCAUGGAUCUAGUCCGGCGUAUCCUAUGUAUCAUAGUCCUAUGAACUCCACUAACUCGCCUCAACAGCAUGGGGAUCAUUACAGUAAGGUCAAUAGUACGGCGCCUCGUUCCCCAAUGGAUGCGUCGGUUUCUAGGCCUUCACCUCAAAAUAGUCAUGUAGCUUAUCCUUCAGUUAUAACUAGGGCAUUAGGUAUUGAGCAAAGUAAAACGUAUUCAGAGAAUCGCUAUGAACGGACUUCCAAUCAAAGUUCAACGCCAGGACAAACCUGUUGGGAUGGCGACCGUCAAGCGUCCAGAAAAUAUUCUAGUAGUAGUAACAGUAAUAAUUAUAGCAAUAAUGGAUUAUCUGAAAGUAAAAAUACUCAUAAUGAAGAAACUGUUUCUCAAUCUACAUCACAUAGGACGUUAAAUUUAGCAGAAAAACAACACACUUAUUUUGAUGGCACUAAUGUAGCAUUACAAGAUUUAUCUAGCUGUCGUGGCGACCCCAUGAGCAUAGUUAAAAAUUUACAAAGCUUACAGCAAAGUUGUCAAUUACAAGAGAUCAAAUCCAAUAAGAGUCAAAUGCCGGUUAGUGCUCCAACAAAAGUGACACCUCGUAGAAAAAGUACUGAAAAACCGGUCUCGCAUAAUAUGAACGACAUCUCAACCGCGGUAAUGGCAGAUUAUCUUGCUAAUAGGAUCCCGCCCCCCGCUCACAGCUCUACUCAACAACAGAAUGGUACCUACUUUGACUUUGAAAGAUGGAAUCUACCACCACCUCCACCCAAAAUGUUUCCCGGUACCUCUGCAUUCGGUUCCCAAGCAAGUCUUCACGCCACAAAUUUUAACCAACACCAAGCACUUGCCAUGCAGCACGGCCAUGCACUGACCUAUUUCCCUCCUUUCCACUUAGGUCCUCAUCCUGACUUCCAGUCAUCUGUGGAGUUAACACCGUUGUCGUCAUUUAGUGAGACUCCACCUUCGGCUUCCUCGUCAUCUUUUUCAACACCCGAAACUCGUGAAGAGGAACAGCCUAAGGUGGUAGUGCCUAAUAUAGAAGAAGAACUUGGUUUCCUUGCAGAACAACGGGGAAAUACGUCUUCGGUAGCACCCUCUUCUCAGCAGCAGAAUCUAAACAGCACUUCACAAGACGCUACUUCAAAAAUAAUGGAAAAAAAAUUCAAUGUGCCAGUCACGGGCCCAGGAUCUGGUUUCAUGGCUUCUUAUUUGAAAUUUUUACAAGGAGAGCGUGACACCUCUCCACCGCCGGCCGGCAGAGGCGCCAGAAAGUCUACUUGGUCGCGAACUACCACUAAUAAUGCGAAUAAUAAAAUUUAUCCUCAUAAUGACCACGUCAAAUGUGAUGGAAAUCCCGCUCAGAGUUCGAACGGCGCAAUGGGAGCGAACGUAAUCAAUUCGGCAAUGUCGCUAAGUAACCCCGCAAUGACUGCGCCGAGUAUGAGCUCGGCGGGCCUGAUGGGCGCCAACCAGUUACAAGGCGCGUCAUCGAGUCUCCUCGGCUCACAAGCGAAAGGUAUCGAAUUAGACGAUCCUCGGUACUAUGUGAAUAAGGACAGAAAACGUAAAUAUGACGGUAGCGAAGAGAGCGGCUACGACGCGGAGGAGGAGGCGAGAAGGCUGAACAAGCCGGUGCUGGUAGUGCCCAGCACGCCGCUGAGCGACAAGGGCAAGAAAGGGCGCGGAGCGAUGAGCAAGCCGCCGCCGUCGGCGGUGGUGGCGCCGCAGCCAGCCGCGCCGGCGCCGGCGCCCGCGCCCGCGCCCGCGCCCGCGCCCGCGCUCAAGAAGCCCCGAGCGCCGCCGCCGCCGCCCGUGGCCGCGCUGCAGGCCGCGCCGCAGCACCAGUACUAUUACCAACACCAGCCCGACGAAGUGGCUCACAGCACAAAUUUGGGCUAUGGGAGUUAUGGGGCGCCGGACACUGAGAGCAAUGCGAACAGGAAAUUGCAUCACAUUAAAUCCCAUCAGCAGAUCAGCACCGGGCAGAUUGACUCCAGGCCAGGCCAGGUUGAGGAAAUGCCUUAUCAGUCGGGGGAGUUUGUGGCAAUAAAGAGUGAGUUAAACGAAAUGUGGCCGUCUAUCUGGAGAGUAGAUGGCAAGACGCUGUUACAAAAAUACGAGCCAUUUGAAGAGAAUGGUAAAGUUUUAUAUCGGAAUAUUUCUACAUAUGCAGCGUGGAACCCCGAAAAUAAAAAACUAUACACGCAAGUGUCCGUUAAAGUUAGGUCUCAAUCUCAUUUGGAAACGAUAGUAGAGUUAGUGAGAAGCGAACUUCAAUUUGAUGACUGCAAUUUCAUCGAAAAAAGGAUGCUGGAAACUCAAAUGUACCAGGAAAACUUUGAAGUCUAUAUACAAACCUUAAUAUCACACGCCCUAGAUCCUAAUUUUUUGACGGAAAUCUUUCAAGAACAAGACGAGUACUUCCUGUCGAACGUGAAGACGGUGGACGAGGUGACGGAGUCGAUGCGGGGUUGCGUGUCUAGCGCGGUGGGGGUGGGGGUGGGGACGGGCAGGGCGCUGGACUCGGCGGUGGGCACGUGGCCGGGGCUGAGCGUGGCGGGGGUGGGGGCGGGGGCGGGCGCGGGCGCGGGGUCGUGCCGCGCGUGCGCCCGGCCGGCGGCGGCGCGGCUGCUGCUGUACGGGCAGCCCUACAACCCCGCCACGCUGGAGCCCGUGCAGCCCGACGCGCGCCUCGCCUACGAGAAGGAAUUCCUAGUGUGCGCGACGUGUUGCGGCCGUGUGCAGCUGUACUCGCGGAUAUCGCACCAGAAGUACCUGAUGUACGCGGAGUGCAGCAAGCGCGUGGCCGAGAAGCGGAUGCAGAACCCCAGCAAGGACACCACCCUCAUACUCAACGAACUGCUGGCCGACGAGGUCUGGCUGUCGCAGGUAUUCACGACUCACAAUAUUAUCUGUACAUUCUGUAGAGUGUAGACACUGAGGUACCUGAUGUACGCGGUGCAGCAAGCUCGUGGCCGAGAAGCGGAUGCAGAACCCCAGCAAGGACACCACCCUCAUACUCAACGAACUGCUGGCCGACGAGGUCUGGCUGUCGCAGCUGUUCCGCGACGUGCGGCACUCCUGGGCCGAGGCGGAGGCGUGGGAGCGCAAGCUGCGCCACGCGCUCGCGCGGCACAUGGUGUAGCCGCGCCGGCACGUGGUGUAGCCGCGCCGGCACGUGGUGUAGCCGCGCCGGCACGUGGUGUAGC
Cydia strobilella is the source of this 5206-nucleotide RNA transcript. It is a transcript of the gene named mucin-2-like, with no coding region annotated. The transcript has 8 exons. Lineage: Eukaryota; Metazoa; Arthropoda; Insecta; Lepidoptera; Tortricidae. The record is from RefSeq and is a predicted model, not a curated record.